GUGAAACGGGUUCCAAUUCAGUUUAAAGUGGAGAGUUUAGAAUGCUAUGCCAACGUGAACAUAAUGUCAUUAGGAAACCAACGACUUGAGGGGUUAAGAAUGCGUCCAUUCACUGAAACUACUAUAAAAGAUGGCACAUAUUGAGAACAGCAGGAAAACGACCAAAACAGAUGCAGAGUUGCAGAGAAAACUGAGCUUCGUAUCACCAUAGAAAACUUAAUUUCUGGCCCGCUAGAAAAGCAU
This 243-nucleotide unclassified non-coding RNA is filed under the name Hevea brasiliensis (rubber tree). The record is from RNAcentral. Lineage: Eukaryota; Viridiplantae; Streptophyta; Magnoliopsida; Malpighiales; Euphorbiaceae.